GGGGAAUCUUGCGCAAUGGCCGCAAGGCUGACGCAGCGACGCCGCGUGGGGGAGGAAGGGCUUCGGCCCGUAAACCCCUGUUGCCCGGGGCGAACAUCCCUUUUCGAGGGGACUGACGGUACCGGGUGAGGAAGCACCGGCGAACGCCGUGCCAGCAGCCUCGGUAAUACGGAGGGUGCGAGCGUUGUCCGGAAUCACUGGGCGUAAAGGGCGCGUAGGUGGCCGAGCAAGGUCGCGGUGAAAGCCCGGGGCUCAACCCCGGGUCGGCCGUGGCAACUACUUGGCUUGAGCACUGUAGGGGCGGGUGGAAUUCCGGGUGUAGCGGUGGAAUGCGUAGAGAUCCGGAAGAACACCGGUGGCGAAGGCGGCCCGCUGGGCAGGAAGACGGGCGCAAGUCCGUCGGCUGACACUGAGGCGCGACAGCGUGGGGAGCAAAC
This 437-nucleotide ribosomal RNA is filed under the name uncultured bacterium. RNAcentral describes it as "bacterial SSU rRNA". It matches the Rfam family "Bacterial small subunit ribosomal RNA", at positions 356 to 773 of the family's 1533-position model. The record is from RNAcentral.